UUUUUAAUUGAGAUCUUGUAUGAAUGAUUGGACAAAAGGAAAACUGUCUUUAUAUUAAAAUUUGAAUUUAACUUUUAAGUGAAAAGGCUUAAAUUUUCUAAAGGGACGAUAAGACCCUAUAAAACUUUACAUUAAAAUUAAUAUUUUAUUGAAUUUUAUUAUAAUAAUUUAAUUUAAUUUUUUGUUAUGUUGGGGAGACAAAAGCUAAAAUUUAUAUUAACUGCUUGGGAGAAAAACAAUAAUAAAUGAGUUAAAAGUUUAUAGAUCCUUUAUAAAGAUUAAAAGAUUAAGUUACUUUAGGGAUAACAGCGUUAUUUUUUUUUAGAGUUCAUAUCAAAAAAAAAGAUUGCGACCUCGAUGUUGAAUUAAAAUAUCUUUAUAAUGCAGGUGUUAUAAAAGAAAGUCUGUUCGACUUUUAAUUUUUUA
RNAcentral lists this ribosomal RNA (426 nucleotides) under Arcopotamonautes bellarussus. RNAcentral describes it as "Potamonautes bellarussus partial 16S ribosomal RNA". The stretch from base 302 to 426 matches the Rfam family "Bacterial large subunit ribosomal RNA", at positions 2473 to 2598 of the family's 2925-position model. Lineage: Eukaryota; Metazoa; Arthropoda; Malacostraca; Decapoda; Potamonautidae. The record is from RNAcentral.